AUGGCUGAUAAGAAGAAGAGGUUGACCGCAAGUGAAGCCCUUGCUCUUCUUUUUGAUUCAUUUACAUCUGGAAAGGAAGUUGAUGUGAACUUAGAGGAGUUGGUGGAUAUAGAUGAGGGAGAAGGAGGAAAUUAUGUUGAUAUGGGGCAACAGACUGAUAAGCAGCCAGAGGAAGGAGAGGAAGAUGAAGGAGAGGAAAAGAAAGGGGAAGGAGAGGAAGAUGAAGGAGAAGAAAAGGAAGGGGAAGGAGAGGAAAAGGAAGGAGAAGGAGAGGAAGAUGAAGGAGAGGAAAAGAAAGGGGAAGGAGACGAAGAUGAAGGGGAGGAAGAGGAAGGAGGGGAGGUGGAAGCAGAGGAAGAGGAAGCCAGUCCAACCCCCAGCUCUUCUGCUGUUCGUCACAAGCGUCCACUGCCCCAUACGUGGAAGAAAAAUGUCAUCAAAGAAAAGCGUCUGAAGGGAGAGAAUUACAAGAAUACAAUGGGACAGGAGAGACCACCAAAGGCCAUGGGCCCACCAUGCACAUCACAGCACUGCUUCAAGUCAACGACAAGAAGUUGUGAGCUACUGACUGAAGUUGAGAGAAGAGGAAUCUUCAACAAUUUCUGGUCCAUGCCUUCCUGGGAGACACGCAAGGUGUAUAUCCAGACUGUUGUUGAAAAUGUGCCCAUAAAACAGAAGAAAGGUGGUGUUGAUUCAAGGAGAACAACAUCUCUGCUAUACCACCUGCAACUCUCAGAUAGAUGCAAAAUACCUGUGUGCAAAAAUCUUUUCUGUUCCACACUUGGUAUUGCCCUGAGAACCAUUGGAUCAUGGUUAACUGCAGGCAUGAAACCCAACACUCAUACCCAGCCCAACCCCAAGAUCAACAAGACUGGUCCUCAUAUGCCAAUAUCAGAUGGAGACCAGGCCUUCCUGAAAGAGUGGCUCUCUGGAAUACCUACAGUCCCAUCCCAUUACUGCCGCCAGGUUCCCUCUUAUCAGAACAAGAAGUUCCUGGAGCCAGGAACAGUUUUGAGAGAGCUUCACAAGGAAUACCAGAAUGCUGCCAAUGAGAAUGGAAAGCGUGCUGUGAGUGAGACAUACUUUCGGAAGGUUUUUGGAGAGCAGGAUUACUCUGUGUUCAUUCCAAAAAAAGACCAAUGUGACAUCUGUGUAAGCGCCAAGGUAGGAAAUACAGAUGAGGAUGCUCUUGCUACACACUUGAGAUUGAAGAGUCAGGCUCAAGCUGAAAAGGCUGCAGACAAAAAUGAAUCCAGUGACACACUUUCAGUGUGGACAAUGGACCUUCAACGCGUUCUUCUUUGCCCCCAGACAAAAGCAAGUACAAUGUACUACAAAACUAAAUUACAGAUGCACAACUUUACCUGCUUCAACAUGAACAACAGAGAUGGGUACUGUUAUGCUUGGGAAGAACAUGAAGGCUCCCUCAGCAGUGAGGUUUUUGCACAUCUGCAGUCCAACCACUUUGAGUCUGUCCUACAGGCCAACAGAAACAUUGAGAAAGUCAUUGUCUGGAGUGAUGGCUGCGGGUAUCAGAACCGGUGUGCUACCAUCAGCAACGCCUACCUUUACCUGGCCAUGAAGCAUGGUGUCAGCAUUGAGCAGAAAUUUCUAGUUGCAGGCCACACACAGAUGGAGUGUGACUCCAUGCACAGUCUAAUUGAACGGCGCAUUGUGCAAGACGUUUACACUCCACGAGAUUACGUUGUCAUCUUUGAGGCUGCACGCAUUAAUCCAUCCCCAUACAGGGUGACUCAACUAUACCACAAUGACUUCAUGAAGUUAUCUGGCACCUAUGUCACCAAUAUUCGACCCGGCAAAAAAGUUGGGGACCCCACAGUCCAUGACCUCCGGGCUUUGCAGUACUUGACUGAUGGACGGAUCAGGUACAAGCUGGAUUUUGAAUCUGACUGGGAAGACCUGCCUCGGCGCAUCAGCAUACCCGACAACAAGCCAUUCAAGUGGAUCCCACUCUUUCCUGCUCAGUUGCCCAUCACCCUGAGGAAAUACAGUGACUUACAGUCAAUGAAAAAUGUACUACCAAGAGUGGCCCACAAGUACUAUGAUGAUCUUCCUCAUCAGUAGUAUACAUAGCCUACCAAAUAGUACACACACACACACGCACGCACACACACACACACACACACACACACACACACACACACACGCACACACACACACCCGCACACGAAGAGAAAGAGAGAGAAGUGAGAGACAAACACACACAGACAGAUACAAACACACAUAGACACACGCACACCUCUUUUAUGAGCCUACAGGCCUCCUCUGCAAAUUAAUGGGUGGGUGAGGUGAAGUGAGUAAGUCUCCUUACUCUAGCUGCCAUUUUGUGAUUAAAAUUGAAAAGUUACAGUGUGUUAUGGUUACAUUAUAGUAUGUCAUGUUCAUUUUAUAGUUUGAAGAAAAACUGCCUAAGUCAUAGGCAUAAUCUGCCUAAGUCACUUUUAUUAGACAAAAGAAAUGAUGUUGGGUUUUGUUCUUUUUCCAUACUUUUCCUCACAUAUACUUAAAUGUUCUGUGAAAAUAUCAAUUAAAAAUAUGCAUGUGAUAUUUAGAAAAUUAGUUUUUUCUUGUUUUCCGAAAACACAAAAAAAUGACUUGGGCAAUUAUGCUAUCAAGCUAACGAUAUAUAUAUAUCAUUAUCAAUCAUUUAAAUUAGUCAAAGACAAAAAAGAAGCCCAAUUGCAACU
This 2708-nucleotide long non-coding RNA is filed under the name Oreochromis niloticus (Nile tilapia). RNAcentral describes it as "lncRNA (ENSONIG00000028990.1)". The record is from RNAcentral. Lineage: Eukaryota; Metazoa; Chordata; Actinopteri; Cichliformes; Cichlidae.